Molecule: long non-coding RNA, 1774 nt
Organism: Setaria italica (foxtail millet)
Lineage: Eukaryota; Viridiplantae; Streptophyta; Magnoliopsida; Poales; Poaceae
Exons: 4
Source: RefSeq, a predicted model, not a curated record
UUCCUUGGCCUAGCCAUCUCUUCCUCACUGCUGCCUCCUCUCACAUUUCUCUCUCCGUCUCUUCCGAUUCGUUUGCCAGCAGCUCCGGUGCCUCGCGGCCGGCGGCCGGCGAUGCAGGUCCUCUCUUCCUCCUCCCCCUCCCCCUCCUCCCUCUAACGGAUUGAGACAUGGAUGUGGCCGACGGCCGGCGAUGCAGGUCCUCUUCCUCCUCCCCUCCCCCUCAUCCCUCUAGCGGAUUGAGACAUGGAUGGGGCCAAUGGCCGGUGAUGCAGGUCCUCUUCCUCCUCCCUCUAGCGGAUUGAGGCAUAGAUGCCGCGCGACGGCCGGUGAUACUGGUCCUCCGCCCCCUCCCCCUCCCCCUCCUCCCUCUAGCGGAUUGAGGCAUGGAUAUGUUAGGGUUCUGGGAUUUUGGGGCCGAGGGUUAGGCGUUAAGAGCCUAUCCAUGCUUGCCGGCGAGGUCGACGACGUCGUGGCCAACGAGGCUUCCACGCCCCCUAAGCCCUAUCCUCCAAUGUGCUAGAGCAGGCUCACAGAAACCUAAUGCGGCCAAUCCAUGUAUGGUGCUAGAGGAUGGGGCGUAAAGAUGUAUUUGGGUUUUUGCAUCUAUAAAUGGUAGAUGUUGGUGUUCAGGAUUCUGCAGUGCGUAGAACUUCUGCUGGUAAAUCUAAUUUUGGUAGUUUAAAUGAUGAUUAUGCAACUGUUAUUUGUAGAAUUUGUUAAAUUCUUAUUGAUCAUGAAUAUUUUUUCUGGUUAGCUAAAUCUAAUUUUGGUUGUUUAGAUCAGGAUGAUGUUAAGAUAGUAGACAUGGAUGGAAAGAUAGGACAAUGAACUAGAGAGCAAUCAAGAAUCUGCAAAAGAGAAGCAUGUUACUGUACAAAUUAAAUUAGAUUUCAGUAAUCCUUAAUGUCACAUGUUACUGUACACAUUAAUUUGCAAAAUUAUAUUGUUGAUUCUGACAACAUUGAAACUACAUUAUGUUUAGAGAAAAGAUGUGCUUAUUCUUUCAUAGCUAAGGCAGUAAGGAUAGGUGCUGCUGUUUGCUACUUCUGUCCAGUACAGUAAGUAUUAUACAUGCUUAUUUCUUCCUUUUGAUUCAACCUGAAGUAGUAGGAAAUGUAAACUAUAGAAGAAAAAUUGAAAUGCCGUGGCCUCAUUUGCUUAUCAGUUCCUUCCCUAGCACUGCAGGUCCUCGUUGCUGAUUCAGAAGCCUUGGCACAUCCUUUGCUUGAACCAUGGGCUGGGCUACUUCAUUCUGUUCAGUAGAAAAGGGGGCUUCAUCGACGUCAUUUGGGAAGAAUUUGCUUCCACGUGCUGCAGCUCUUCUUGAUGUAUCAGUAGAAAAGGGAGAGGCUGUGGCCUCGGCUUGUGCAAGGUUUUAAAGAUCUUUCCCACCGACUUCAGCUUAGGCUCUGGCUAGAGGACAAAGAUAUGUCAACUCGGUGGUGUGUCAUCAUCCAAUGUGCACUAUCUGUAGGCACAACUUCAUUAGGACCAGAUGUGACUACAGCUGCAGAAGCAGGAUUCUACUGUAGGCAACUCAGCAAUAGUUUUGGGAAGCAAAUAUUUAGGAAAGCUAAUGUUCUGAAGCAAAACAUUUGUGUAGUUCUAAUAUCCCUUGUGUGAAUGUUCUAAAUGAAUGCAGGGUUUAACUCAUGUGAUGUAUUCAAUUUAGUUUUGCAUGGCGGAAAAAGCAUUACUUUCUUCUGAUGGGUAAGGGAAGUUUGAAUGAUGAUUUAACAGUUUUGAGAUAUGGUAUAUCAGCUUCAUUAAAUUA